Molecule: small RNA, 125 nt
Filed under: Salmonella enterica
Lineage: Bacteria; Pseudomonadati; Pseudomonadota; Gammaproteobacteria; Enterobacterales; Enterobacteriaceae
Description: partial RtT sRNA
Rfam family: RtT RNA
About the family: This family represents a bacterial cis-regulatory element known as RtT RNA. The exact function of RtT is unknown although it is thought that it may be involved in changing the cellular response in relation to amino acid starvation.
Source: RNAcentral
CUCUGUACGGGAAGGAUGAGAAGCUUCGACUAAGGUUCGAUUCGAGCGCAGCGAGAAAGCGUUGCCGCAGGCAACGACCCGAAGGGCGAAGCGCGCAGCGCUGAGUAAUCCUUCCCCCACCACCA